AACGCGAAGAACCUUACCCAGGCUUGACAUCCUUGGAAGCACUGCGAAAGCAGAGUGUGCCUUCGGGAACCAAGUGACAGGUGAUGCAUGGCCGUCGUCAGCUCGUGUCGUGAGAUGUUUGGUUAAGUCCAUCAACGAGCGCAACCCUUUUAGUUAGUUGUAUUUUUCUAGCUAGACUGCCCUGGUAACAGGGAGGAAGGAGGGGAUGAUGUCAGGUCAGUAUUUCCCUUACGUCUGGGGCUACAAACACGCUACAAUGGCCGGUACAAAGGGCAGCCAAGUCGCGAGACGGAGCAAAUCCCAUCAAAAGCCGGUACUCAGUUCGGAUUGCAGGCUGAAACUCGCCUGCAUGAAGCUGGAAUCGCUAGUAACGGUAGGUCAGCACACUACCGUGAAUACGUUCCCGGGCCUUGUACACACCGGAGUGC
Molecule: ribosomal RNA, 428 nt
Filed under: uncultured bacterium
Lineage: Bacteria
Description: bacterial SSU rRNA
Rfam family: Bacterial small subunit ribosomal RNA
Source: RNAcentral